CCCUUAGAUGUUCUGGGCUGCACGCGCGCUACACUGAAGCGUUCAACGAGUAUUCACCUUGCCCGGGAGGGUUGGGUAAUCUUUUGAAAACGCUUCGUGAUGGGGAUAGAUGAUUGCAAUUCUUCAUCUUCAACGAGGAAUGCCUAGUAAACGCAAGUCAUCAGCUUGCAUUGAUUACGUCCCUGCCCUUUGUACACACCGCCCGUCGCUCCUACCGAUUGAAUGUUCCGAUGAAUACCAUGGACUGAGAGUAUGAAUGGGUUCGCCUAUUUCUGCUUCUCGGGAAGUGGAGUAAAUCUUAACAUUUAGAGGAAGGAGAAGUCGUAACA
This 329-nucleotide ribosomal RNA is filed under the name uncultured eukaryote. RNAcentral describes it as "partial 18S ribosomal RNA". It matches the Rfam family "Eukaryotic small subunit ribosomal RNA", at positions 1470 to 1796 of the family's 1831-position model. The record is from RNAcentral.